ACGGAGGGUGCAAGCGUUAUCCGGAUUCACUGGGUUUAAAGGGUGCGUAGGUGGGUUGGUAAGUCAGUGGUGAAAUCCCCGAGCUUAACUUGGGAACUGCCAUUGAUACUAUCAGUCUUGAAUAUUGUGGAGGUCAGCGGAAUAUGUCAUGUAGCGGUGAAAUGCUUAGAUAUGACAUAGAACACCAAUUGCGAAGGCAGCUGGCUACGCAUAUAUUGACACUGAGGCACGAAAGCGUGGGGAUCAAACAGGA
This 253-nucleotide ribosomal RNA is filed under the name uncultured prokaryote. RNAcentral's name for it is "partial 16S ribosomal RNA". It matches the Rfam family "Bacterial small subunit ribosomal RNA", at positions 525 to 777 of the family's 1533-position model. The record is from RNAcentral.